CCGGAAGGGAGCCAAGCUUGAGCCAUCUUGAUGGGAUGCAGCACACUAGACGGUACCACCAGAGGCUUGGAAAAGGCCAACUGGGCUGGGGCAGUGGCUUGAUCAAGGUUCAAUGAAGCCUCAAAUUCCUGGGCUCAAGAGAUCCUCCAGCCUCAGCCUCCUGAGUAGCUUGGAUGACAGAUGACUGCAAGGUGCAAAUUGUUUACUGAAGAAAUUCAUCAUAUAGCCGGUCAAGUGUUUGGAUUCUGUUAGAAGAUUGAGAACAAGACCCUGCAGUGGAUGGAUCAGGUAACACCACCCAGACCAGUAAUCUGGCUCAACCAGUUCUGCCAUCCCACCCAGGAACAAAGGCAGCAAAAAAACUUCACUUCGACCCCCUAUGAUUCCAUCUCCAACCUGACCAAUCCACAUUCGCCACUUCCCAAGCCCCUACCCAUCAAAUUAUCUUUAAAAUCUCCAAUCCCCGAAUGCUCAGGGAGACUGAUUUGAGUAAUAAUAAAA
Gorilla gorilla gorilla (western lowland gorilla) is the source of this 501-nucleotide long non-coding RNA. RefSeq lists it as uncharacterized. The record is from RefSeq and is a predicted model, not a curated record. NCBI's taxonomy places the organism in Eukaryota, Metazoa, Chordata, Mammalia, Primates, Hominidae. The transcript is spliced from 4 exons.